This is a long non-coding RNA of Gadus macrocephalus (Pacific cod), 773 nucleotides long. RefSeq lists it as uncharacterized. NCBI's taxonomy places the organism in Eukaryota, Metazoa, Chordata, Actinopteri, Gadiformes, Gadidae. The transcript has 2 exons. The record is from RefSeq and is a predicted model, not a curated record.
AAAAGUAAACAGUAAACAUUAUAAUAAUAAUAUAAGAUAAACAAUAAACUCUUAACUAACUAACUAUAAAAAGUAAACAAAAACAGUAAACAAUAAACUCUUAGCUAAUAUAGAAAGUAGAGAUAAUAAUAGAAGUAAAACAGGAUUCAAGUAAAAUAAAAAGAUAAAUGUAGAGAACUGUAUAGAGGAUUAAUAUAAAUAAAUAAAUAUAUAUAAAUAAAUAAAUGUAAACAUAUAUAUAUAUAUGUUUGUGCCUAGAUGUUAUCCUGCCAGGGCACUCGUCCAGCUUCAGACAUGAAGUACUGAGCAAACUUCUCCCUCACUGCCACAACAUCUCUGCCAGCAUUGUUGGUGCCAAGGCAAGGUGCGUUCUGGAGACCUUGUGAUGGCUCAGCUGUGGAUGUUCCAGUAGAUGACCUAGCCGGUAUUGUAGUGCUGGCAUCCCACCUCAGAAAGUUAUGGAGCAUGCAGGUGGCCUUUACCACGUUCUCUGCCACUUCUGGAGAGACACACAGCACCCGACGUGUUGUAGCCAGGGUAUGGGCGCAUGAUGUUACGCCGCAAGGGGAAGGCUUCGUCUGCCAGAAACACAUGAGGCAUCGGGCCAAGAUGUUCUGCCCCUGGGAGGAUGGAGUCAUCCGGGAUACCCAAUGUGUUCUGCCGUAGGGCAGUACCAAAAGCGGAGGAGGAGAGGGUUCCCCCAUCACUGUUUCUUCCAUAGGCCCCGAUGUCAACAAGCCUGAAACAGUACCUGGCGUCGACUACAGCCAGAA